This 73-nucleotide transfer RNA is filed under the name Stegodyphus mimosarum. It matches the Rfam family "tRNA". Rfam says of the family: Transfer RNA (tRNA) molecules are approximately 80 nucleotides in length. Their secondary structure includes four short double-helical elements and three loops (D, anti-codon, and T loops). The record is from Rfam by way of RNAcentral. Lineage: Eukaryota; Metazoa; Arthropoda; Arachnida; Araneae; Eresidae.
GCCUUGGUAGUGUAGUGGUCAGCAUGCUCGACGCGUAUUCGAGAGGUGGGUGGUUCGAAUCCCGGCGAGGGCA